GAUUUAGGGUCCCAGAGGAGUUUCAGUGUGUUGGACCGCCUCCUCCACACACACCCCGUCUGGCUGCAGCUAUCCAUCAAUGCUGACUCCGCCCUCUAUAUCCUGCUCAGAGAACCUGUCGGGACGUUCCUGGUUCGUAAGUGCAGCUCCAGCCAGAGGAAGGUGUUGUGUGUCCGAGUGACAGCAGACCGAUCAGUAUCCUCCAUUAAGGAGUGUCUCAUAUGUGAGGAAGACUCAACCUUCGCCUUGGAGAGCUCCGCCCUCAGCUUCCCAGACCUCUGCCGAUUGGUGGCCUUCUACUGCAUCA
This is a long non-coding RNA of Coregonus clupeaformis (lake whitefish), 307 nucleotides long. RefSeq lists it as uncharacterized. The record is from RefSeq and is a predicted model, not a curated record. The transcript is spliced from 3 exons. NCBI's taxonomy places the organism in Eukaryota, Metazoa, Chordata, Actinopteri, Salmoniformes, Salmonidae.